UCCCUGGCAGCUCAGAUGGUAAAGCAUCUGCCUCCAAUGCAGGAGACUCAGGUUCAAUCCCUGGGUUGGGAA
Ovis aries (sheep) is the source of this 72-nucleotide transfer RNA. It matches the Rfam family "tRNA". From Rfam's summary of the family: Transfer RNA (tRNA) molecules are approximately 80 nucleotides in length. Their secondary structure includes four short double-helical elements and three loops (D, anti-codon, and T loops). The record is from Rfam. NCBI's taxonomy places the organism in Eukaryota, Metazoa, Chordata, Mammalia, Artiodactyla, Bovidae.